GGUGAAGCUGGUCCCCAAGGGCCCCGAGGCUCUGAAGGUCCCCAGGGUGUGCGUGGUGAGCCUGGCCCCCCUGGCCCUGCUGGUGCUGCUGGCCCUGCUGGAAACCCUGGUGCUGAUGGACAGCCUGGUGCUAAAGGUGCCAAUGGUGCUCCUGGUAUUGCUGGUGCUCCUGGCUUCCCUGGUGCCCGAGGCCCCUCUGGACCCCAGGGCCCCGGCGGCCCUCCUGGUCCCAAGGGUAACAGCGGUGAACCUGGUGCUCCUGGCAGCAAAGGAGACACUGGUGCUAAGGGAGAGCCUGGCCCUGUUGGUGUUCAAGGACCCCCUGGCCCUGCUGGAGAGGAAGGAAAGCGAGGAGCUCGAGGUGAACCCGGACCCACUGGCCUGCCCGGACCCCCUGGCGAGCGUGGUGGACCUGGUAGCCGUGGUUUCCCUGGCGCAGAUGGUGUUGCUGGUCCCAAGGGUCCCGCUGGUGAACGUGGUUCUCCUGGCCCUGCUGGCCCCAAAGGAUCUCCUGGUGAAGCUGGUCGUCCCGGUGAAGCUGGUCUGCCUGGUGCCAAGGGUCUGACUGGAAGCCCUGGCAGCCCUGGUCCUGAUGGCAAAACUGGCCCCCCUGUAAGUAUCACUCCCCCUGAACCCCCUGCCAUUGUCCUGUCUGCCUCCCUGCUGUCCUCACUGCUGCUUUCGUGCCUCCCAUCCUUAGGGUCCCGCCGGUCAAGAUGGUCGCCCCGGACCCCCAGGCCCACCUGGUGCCCGUGGUCAGGCUGGUGUGAUGGGAUUCCCUGGACCUAAAGGUGCUGCUGUGAGUAUUAAGUGAGGAUCCAUGAAGAGCCAGGGACAAACACACCUGAGACUUGAAGGAGUCCUGGGCUCUGGGCUCAGCUGUGCCGCUGACCUGCCGUGUGGCCACUCACUCUCACUUUCUGGACCUCAGCCUCCCUAUCUGUAAAAUGAAAGACUUCUCGGCGGGGCACGGUGGCUCAUGCCUGUAAUCCCAGCACUUUGGGAGGCCAAGGCGGGCAGACCAUGAGGUCAGGAGUUUGAGACCAGUCGGGCCAACAUAGUGAAACCACGUCUCUACUAAAAAUACAAAAGAUUAGCUGGGUGUGGUGGUGUGCACCUGUAACCCCAGCUAGUCAGGAGGCUGAGGCAGGAGAAUUGCAUGAACCCGGGAGGUGGAGGUUGCAGUGAGCUG
RNAcentral lists this long non-coding RNA (1192 nucleotides) under Homo sapiens (human). RNAcentral's name for it is "non-protein coding lnc-PPP1R9B-5:1". Lineage: Eukaryota; Metazoa; Chordata; Mammalia; Primates; Hominidae. The record is from RNAcentral.